UACGUAGGGUGCAAGCGUUGUCCGGAAUUAUUGGGCGUAAAGAGCUCGUAGGCGGUCUGUCGCGUCGGCUGUGAAAACCUGGGGCUCAACCCCGGGCCUGCAGCCGAUACGGGCAGACUAGAAUUCGGUAGGGGAGACUGGAAUUCCUGGUGUAGCGGUGAAAUGCGCAGAUAUCAGGAGGAACACCGGUGGCGAAGGCGGGUCUCUGGGCAGUAACUGACGCUGAGGAGCGAAAGCGUGGGGAGCGAACAGG
Molecule: ribosomal RNA, 253 nt
Filed under: uncultured bacterium
Lineage: Bacteria
Description: partial 16S ribosomal RNA
Rfam family: Bacterial small subunit ribosomal RNA
Source: RNAcentral